This is a long non-coding RNA of Oncorhynchus tshawytscha (Chinook salmon), 361 nucleotides long. Lineage: Eukaryota; Metazoa; Chordata; Actinopteri; Salmoniformes; Salmonidae. The record is from Ensembl.
GUCUGGUAGGCUCGUGUCACUGGGCAGCUCGCGGCUGUGCUUCCCUUUGUAGGCUGUAAUAGUUUGCAAGCCCUGCCACAUCCGACGAGCUUCGGAGCCGGUGUAGUAUGAUUCAAUCUUAGUCCUGUAUUGAUGCUUUGACUGUUUGAUGGUUCGUCGGAUGGCAUAGCGGGAUUUCUUGUAAGGUGACAGUAUUAGCUGUGGUUGGAGGUGGCAGUAUUAGCUGUGGUUGGAGGUGGCAGUAUUAGCUGUGGUUGGAGGUGGCAGUAUUAGCUGUGGGUGGAGGUGGCAGUAUUAACAGUGGUUGGAUGGGGAGGUAUUAGCAGUGGUUGGAGGUGGCAGUAUUGGCUGUGGUUGGAGG